Long non-coding RNA from Herpailurus yagouaroundi (jaguarundi), 579 nucleotides. RefSeq lists it as uncharacterized. NCBI's taxonomy places the organism in Eukaryota, Metazoa, Chordata, Mammalia, Carnivora, Felidae. The transcript is spliced from 2 exons. The record is from RefSeq and is a predicted model, not a curated record.
GUCAGGAAGAGCUCAAAAUUCCAAGCUGUUAUUAUGACCCCACAGGGGAACUCUGACAUCCCUGUGAGCCAACACUGUGCAUGGGGAAACAGGGCUAUGACUGAAGCAACAUUUGGGCCUAGAAACUCACUGCUGCUGGGCUCGGAAGCCCAGGGAUCUGGCAGGUCUGAGCACAACAGCAGCUCAGGCCCGUCUGUGCGUCCUGAGCUGCCCUGUCCCUCAGCUCUCUUUUACAGAAGAACUGAGGCCCAGAGAAGCUCAGUCAUGUCCCCUGAAGUCACACUGCUGUGUUCUGAGGAUUUGAGCCCAGAUUCUCUUGGUUCUGGGGUCUGAAUACAGAUUGCAUGGCAGCACUCUCCAUCUAGCCUGCAAAACUCAAGGAAAUUCAUCUCCAGUGAGGGAGUUUCGAGUCCCGGCAGUGAGGAGCUCUCUGGAGCAGGGUACUGACCCCAUAGACUUCAUAUGGCUUCACAGCUGCUGGCACCUGCAGCCUCUCCUCCCUGAGUAAGAGAGGAGCAUGGAAAACAGUAUGGCAGGUCCUCAAAAAAUUCAAAAUAGAGCUACCAUGAGAUUCAUCAA